AAUGCUCUGACAUUAACACCUCAUUCUGUCUCUGGAUCGCAAGCGGGAAAGAGGACUCAACGCAGAGAUGCUCAAACAGGCAUUCUUCACCACCCUUGUUCUUCUGGCUUGCAGUGUGGCUCUCAUGGAAGGACUUCACCUCUCCAGCCGUGAGCGCUGUUUCUGCAGAUCACAAGCAACCGCUAGGUCUAUUUCGAACCUGGGCAAUGUGGCUAAAAUCGAAUACUUCAUGCCAAGCGGCAGCUGUAGUCAAGAGGAGCUGAUGGUGUACUUUACAAACGGUCGUAAAGUCUGUCUGAAGCUUAAUGGGGAGAAACGCAGGAGAAUUAAACGGGCCAUCGUGAAUGAAUAAAAAUGAAGUCCAAGCUGAGUUUUGGAGAAGCUGCUUCACAAAUACUUACUUGGGACGCGUAAUUAGCUUCUAAAUGAUUUAUAAUCUAUGAUACCCAAGUUGGGAGCCACUGGUCCAACAGUAUUAUUCUUACCAAGCUGUAUUAUUAACAGUAUUAUUCUUACAAGAGCCAUGCAAUGAAUCAAAAUUUCUGUGAUUUUCUCUUGAUUUUGACAUCUCUUACUAUGGAAGAGCUUCAUUCUUCCCAAUCAAGCAAGCAAUGACAGUGUCAUAUUGGCAUCCUUCAUUCCUGAACAUUUUAUGCUUGUCAUAACAUUACAAAUAAUCCUUGACUUAUGACCACAAUUGAACCCAAAUUGCCAUUGUUAAGCAAGACUGUUGUUAAGUGAGUUUUGCCCCAUUUCACAAUCUUCCUUAUCACGGUUCUUAAGUAAAUCACUACAGCUGUUUAGUUAGUAACCUGGGCCUUAAGUGAAUCUGGCCGAAAAAGGGAUCACACGAUCCCAGAACACUGCAAGCAUCAUAAAUAUGAAUCAGUUGCCAAGCAUCUGAAUUUUGAUCAAGUGAUGCCAGGGAUGCUAGAAUAGUCAAAACAGAGGUGGUAUUCAACAGGUUCUGACCAGUUCUGGAGAACCAAUAGUGGAAAUUUUGAGUAGGUCAGAGAACCGGCAAAUACCGCCUCUGACUGGCCCCGCCAACCCCAUCUGUUCUCUGCCUCCCGAGUCCCAGCUGGGUCUUCUUUGGUUGCCCUGCGCAGGAGAACGGAGCUGGAAAGCAGGUUAGUGCAGUGGGGAGGGAAUGGAGAUUUUGCAGUAACCUUCUCCUGCACUCCCACCAAGCCACGCCCACAGAACCGGUAGUAAAAAAAUUUGAAUCCCACCACUGAGUCAUAAGUAUGAAUAAGUCUCUUUUUUCAUUUCCGUGGUAAUUUCAACCUGUCACUAACUGAAUAAGUCAAGGACUACUUGUAUUUUAUGCUUGUUAUACCAUUACGGACAUCUGUUCCUAACCAUAUACUGUCCACGUUGUAAUGUUGCAGGCUGAGCUUCACCAUUAUUUAGUAGCAUUAUUUAGUAUAUAAGUCACAGAACUGAAUUCAUGACACCAACACACCAUAUCUUCCACUGAAUCCUCUGUGGACACCUAUGUAUACAAUUAACUAUAGUUAAAGAGUAUAUUUCUCCAAUAUUUCAAUAAAUAAAUUUCAAUAUUUCA
This 1567-nucleotide long non-coding RNA is filed under the name Notechis scutatus (mainland tiger snake). Its description in RNAcentral is "lncRNA (ENSNSUG00000002370.1)". Lineage: Eukaryota; Metazoa; Chordata; Lepidosauria; Squamata; Elapidae. The record is from RNAcentral.